Molecule: ribosomal RNA, 447 nt
Filed under: uncultured bacterium
Lineage: Bacteria
Description: partial 16S ribosomal RNA
Rfam family: Bacterial small subunit ribosomal RNA
Source: RNAcentral
GCCAGACUCCUACGGGAGGCAGCAGUGGGGAAUAUUGCACAAUGGGGGGAACCCUGAUGCAGCGACGCCGCGUGGGCGAGGAAGUAUUUCGGUAUGUAAAGCCCUAUCGGCAGGGAAGAAGAAAUGACGGUACCUGAAUAAGAAGCACCGGCUAAAUACGUGCCAGCAGCCGCGGUAAUACGUAUGGUGCAAGCGUUAUCCGGAUUUACUGGGCGUAAAGGGAGCGCAGGCGGCGCGCCAAGUCUGAUGUGAAACCCCGGGGCUCAACCCCGGGCAUGCAUUGGAAACUGUUAAGCUGGAGUACUGGAGAGGCAAGCGGAAUUCCUAGUGUAGCGGUGAAAUGCGUAGAUAUUAGGAGGAACACCAGUGGCGAAGGCGGCUUGCUGGACUGUAACUGACGUUGAGGCUCGAAAGCGUGGGGAGCAAACAGGAUUAGAUACCCGAGUA